Molecule: non-coding RNA, 135 nt
Organism: Triticum aestivum (bread wheat)
Lineage: Eukaryota; Viridiplantae; Streptophyta; Magnoliopsida; Poales; Poaceae
Source: Rfam
AAAGUACUCCCUCCGUCCCAAAAUUCUUGUCUUAGAUUUGUCUAGAUAUGGAUGUAUCAAGUCACAUUUUAGUAUUAGAUACAUCCGUAUCUAGACAAAUCUAAGACAAGAAAUUUGGGAUAGAGGGAGUAGUUG